CUCUAAUACAGAGAAAAUGUCAGCAGUUACAUGGUUACAUGUGGAGCAGCAGUCUGUUCCCACCUGUCACCCCACACCCUGCUGUAUCAGAAGCAGCAGUGGCCAAUGGCAGGUGGCGCCCCUGGAGCUAGUGCAUGCUGGGAACUGGCUUUUAAGCUAGCUUCCCACACAUACUGGGAGCCUCAGUAUAACUGUGACCAUUAACAGAUGAGCCCAGGCUCAUCUGUUAACCAUUUACACAGUUACACUUUCACAUCUCUAAAAACCUAUUUGCAGCAUGUACAAAGGCAAGCUCUGUGAAGUACAUGCCCAAUCACUAAAGUUGUAAUUGCACUGUAAUUAGACACCGGCAGCUGGUCCAUACCAGCUGACCUGGGCUCCCAAAGCUUCAGGAAAGGGCUGUUUAUCUGCACUUCAGACUUUCUGGCCUGAGCUGUGGGACUCUCCUGCCUCACAGGGUCUUAGUAUCUGAGCUCCAGCUCAAACCCAAAUGUCUACUCUGCAAUUAAAUAGCCCUUAGCUCAAGUCAGCUGGAUGACCUACCCACAUGUUUUUAAUUGCAGUAUAGACAUAGCCAAAAUCCAGCUCUUAGGGUACCGACUUAAUUCAUAUACACCAACAUCAAAUAAUUCUCAUCUGCUAGCUAUUAAAGUGAACUGCAUUGAGCCACUGAAGUAGCAGUGAAAUACAUACUAUCUCCCCAAGACAGCCAGUCCCAUCCCCAAAAGCCCACUGUUUUUGACUUUUGCCUCCCAUGUUAAUCCAACAGAAAUCAAGCAUGAAGAUGUCGGUAUCACUUAAUUUCUGGCAAAUUAAAGAAACAAAAGACAAUGCUGAAGAAAUGCCACAUACUCAUAGUAUUAUAUAAAUCAGAGGUGACCAACUUAUGGGCACCUACAACAAUCUUGAGACGUUCAAGAGUUGGGGCACGCCUGCCAGAGUUCAGGGCUUGAACCCUGCUCCUGUUCCAAGAUCCCCAAGAGCAACCUGCAGCAGAUAAAUACAAAUUUUAUAAGUGUACAUUUGCCAACAACCCCAACUUAUAAAAUGACUAGCGGAGCGAGAGAUGCAGGUUGAAAAUAUUUGUCAGGAAGCCAAAAAUUAAAGAAGAAAAGAAAACUUGAAGAAUGUGAUCUCAAUCUAAAAGGUACUAUGGAAAAAUUUGUUCAAAAGACAAAAAAAUGAGAUGAAGAACCACAACAGUCCCAAUCAUCGUCACUGUCAUCACAUUCAGAUCCAGUAGAAGUAGAUUCUGUGGAAUUAUCCACAUUUACUCCAACUUCAAUUGCGACAACAGAACAAAAUCUGCCAUUAACAUCAACGUUCACUUCGUCUUCAAUGGCACCAGAUCUGCCAGAUGACCCAUUAACUGCAAUAACAUCAAGGUUAUUAGACAAACUAAAGCAAAAUCAUCCACUUUUUUUAGAAGAAUCCGCAAUAGCUGAAGUCAACAUUAGUAGCAAAGAUCUUGCCGAAAUUGAUUCCAAGUAUUCAGAAGAGCUUUCAUCAGAAGAAGAAAAUGGUGAGUUAGAAUGUGCCCCGAAAAGUAGCUUAACCGACCCUGCAAAAUGGCCAACUAUUCUAACUGAUAAAGUCAGGUUGUUUAUUGCUGAGCAAGGACCCGUACAAAUAAAAAGUUUUAAAUUUCCUAGAGAUGAAAAAAACAGAUCUUUUUCAGCAAAUCAUUACUCCAGAUUAUUAAACAAUGGAGAAAUGAUGGAAAGAAGGUGGUUAGUUUAUUCUUUACUUCAAGAUACUGUGUACUGCUUUAGCUGCAAAUUGUUUGCACCAAUUCCAAUUGCCCUUGCCACUGGCGGUUUCAAUGACUGGAAACAUUUGGCUGAAAGAUUAAAAGAGCAUGAAAAUUUACAGAAUCAUCGUGAAGGAAUGAUUAAAUGGACAAAAACGUUUGAAGAAUAAAGUAACUAUCGAUAAGAUGACGCAAAGCAUGAUAGAAAAAGAGAAACAGACUUGUUGCAGUUUUCAAAUGUAUAGUUGAAAUAAUUAUAUUUAUGGCGAGUCUAAAUUUAUCAUUCAGAGGAAAAACUGAAAAACUUUUUCAAUCCCAUAAUGGAAAUUUUUUGGGAAUAAUUGAAUUAUUAGCUAAAUUCGACCCAGUGAUGGCAGAACAUGUAUACCAUUUUACAGAAAAGGAUACUCGAAACCAUUUUUUGAGUCACUUAAUUCAAAAUGAAUUAAUUAUAUCAAUAUUUGAAAAAGUUAAGAAACACACAAUUGAUGAAGUAAAACAGGCAAAAUAUUAUUCAAUAAUAUUAGAUUGUACUCCUGAUGUCAGUCACCAAGAACAAUUAUCGAUGAUACUCCAAUUUGUGAAUAUAGAAAAAUCAAGAUUUUAAAACAGAUGAAAAGUUUAUCAAUUUUUUAGUUGAUGAUACAACAGGAACAGGGUUAGCAGAAAGGUUAAAAAUGAACUCCAAGAUGUAGGAUUAGAUUUAAAGGACUGUCGAGGACAAGCUUAUGACAAUGGGGCUAAUAUGAAGGGUAAAAAUGUUGGAGUGCAGGCUUUAAUUUUACAAGAAAAUCGAAGAGCCUUUUAUGUACCCUGUGCUUGUCACAAUUUGAAUUUAGUGUUGGGAGAUAUUGCAAAAUCGUCCACGCAAGCGGUGACAUUUUUCGGGAUAAUACAAAGGGUUUACACAAUUUUUGCGGUGUCAACAGCAAGAUGGGAUGUAUUUAAAAGACAUGCUCCUCUACUUUCACCAAAACCACUUUCGGAAACUAGAUGGGAGUGCCGUAUUGAAAGCAUUAAAGCAAUUUGAUUUCAAACAACUGGAUUGGACAAUGCUUUAAGUGCACUUUUAAAUACGGUAACGAAUCACAAACUUAAAUGUGAAGUACUUGCUGUCAGAAAGCAUCUAAGAAUAUAUGAAUUUUUAACCAGCCUUGUUAUUUGGUAAGAUGUAUUACUUAAAGUAAAUACUGCCAGCAAAAUUCUGCAGAAGACAAAUAUAGAAAUGGAUAUUGCUUUAAAUCAUUUAAAGUAUCCUGUAUCAUAUUUGGAGGAAUACAGAUCUUCAGGAUUCCAAAGUGCAUUAACUACAGCCAAAGAGAUGUGUGAUGAAUUGAACAUCAAUCCAACAUUUCAGGAAAAACGUCUGACAAAUAAAACAAAUACGUUUUCAUAUGAGGGAAAUGAUGAACCUAUUGAAAGCACAGAGGAAUCAUACCGAAUAAACUACUUUUUGAUAAUUUUUUAUUCUGCUCUUGUUUC
Pelodiscus sinensis (Chinese soft-shelled turtle) is the source of this 3232-nucleotide non-coding RNA. Lineage: Eukaryota; Metazoa; Chordata; Testudines; Trionychidae. The record is from RefSeq and is a predicted model, not a curated record.